CUUUGAUCCAGAACAAAAUCGUGCAUAUACCGGAUGGUUAUUUUACUGGAAGCCAAUUGGAAUAUAUAGCACUAAGCCGAAAUCAAAUAAAAUAUGUACCGGGAAAGGCUCUAGCCGGAGUGGACAGUCUGACAUUUCUGAGUGUGGAUGACAAUGCAAUCAAAGGGAUAUCCAAGUCUCACCUGUCUUAUCUAGCUACGUCACAGCUGAAACAUCUAAACCUGAGUAACAACGUUAUAAAUUACAUCGAACCAUUGGCAUUAUCACAGCUCGGCCAGCUUCUUAUUUUGGAGCUACAUAAUAAUCAGCUGACUGGGCUAAAUAGGGGUGUAUUCACACACAUACCAAACCUAG
This is a long non-coding RNA of Mizuhopecten yessoensis (Yesso scallop), 354 nucleotides long. RefSeq lists it as uncharacterized. Lineage: Eukaryota; Metazoa; Mollusca; Bivalvia; Pectinida; Pectinidae. The transcript has 5 exons. The record is from RefSeq and is a predicted model, not a curated record.